UUACAAACCAACAAGCUGUGAAAAAAAACAAGGAAAGACGUUACCGGAUCGGAAGGAGACGAUGGCGGCGAGGCGCAGUGGUGACUGGCGGCGGUCUGAGUUGGCUUCCGUGGUGUCCGAUUCAGAUCUUGCUUCUUUUCUUCUCAAUUUUCGUAGAAUCAGAGGGUGAUUGCAUCGAUGCUGGUUGUGGCACAAUCCGUCGGUUCUGAGCAUCGCGGUGGUGGGCUUUGGAUGACGCGGUUGUCGGUGUUCUACGGCUUCACCAUUUCGCGUUGUUAGGUUGAACUGGUGGAUUGUUCGUAUUGGUGUUGCGGUAACUUGGUGUUGUUGCUGUUGAGGAUGAUGAUGAUGAUGAUGGUUAAUGUUGAAUACACCAGAAGCUUCAGCCAU
Vicia faba (fava bean) is the source of this 390-nucleotide non-coding RNA. Lineage: Eukaryota; Viridiplantae; Streptophyta; Magnoliopsida; Fabales; Fabaceae. The record is from the annotation of a GenBank genome assembly.